Molecule: ribosomal RNA, 253 nt
Filed under: uncultured bacterium
Lineage: Bacteria
Description: partial 16S ribosomal RNA
Rfam family: Bacterial small subunit ribosomal RNA
Source: RNAcentral
UACGUAGGGCGCAAGCGUUGUCCGGAAUUAUUGGGCGUAAAGAGCUCGUAGGCGGCCUGUUGCGUCCGCUGUGAAAUCCCGGGGCUCAACCCCGGGCCUGCAGUGGAUACGGGCUGGCUAGAGGCAGGCAGGGGAGAACGGAAUUCCUGGUGUAGCGGUGAAAUGCGCAGAUAUCGGAAGGAACACCAGUGGCGAAGGCGGCUACCUGGAUUGACACUGACACUGAGGCGCGAGAGCGUGGGGAGCAAACAGG